UGGGGAAUUUUGGACAAUGGGCGAAAGCCUGAUCCAGCAAUGCCGCGUGUGUGAAGAAGGCCUUCGGGUUGUAAAGCACUUUUGUCCGGAAAGAAAUCCUUGGCUCUAAUACAGUCGGGGGAUGACGGUACCGGAAGAAUAAGCACCGGCUAACUACGUGCCAGCAGCCGCGGUAAUACGUAGGGUGCAAGCGUUAAUCGGAAUUACUGGGCGUAAAGCGUGCGCAGGCGGUUUGCUAAGACCGAUGUGAAAUCCCCGGGCUCAACCUGGGAACUGCAUUGGUGACUGGCAGGCUAGAGUAUGGCAGAGGGGGGUAGAAUUCCACGUGUAGCAGUGAAAUGCGUAGAGAUGUGGAGGAAUACCGAUGGCGAAGGCAGCCCCCUGGCAAGUACUGACGCUCAUGCACGAAAGCGUGGGGAGCAAACAGGAUUAGAUACCCUGGUAGUCCACGCCCUAAACGAUGUCAACUAGUUGUUGGGGAUUCAUUUCCUUAGUAACGUAGCUAACGCGUGAAGUUGACCGCCUGGGGAGUACGGUCGCAAGAUUAAAACUCAAAUGAAUUGACGGGGUCAU
RNAcentral lists this ribosomal RNA (573 nucleotides) under uncultured bacterium. RNAcentral's name for it is "partial 16S ribosomal RNA". It matches the Rfam family "Bacterial small subunit ribosomal RNA", at positions 355 to 922 of the family's 1533-position model. The record is from RNAcentral.